GGCCCCGCCAAGGCCGAGGGAAAGGCGCCUUGAGUUUUGAGAGCAAUCAACGCUAGGGUCCUUCAGGCGAAAUCGUUUGACGCCCAAGCGGGGACAAUAGGUGUCAAGCAGCUGGGUCUGGAGCUGGCAACUGCCCCUUGAAGAGCCCUUAUUUGGUGGGGGUGGGGGUUGGGGGGCAAAGGUUUCUGCAAGUAAGGGGUGCGUGGGGUGGGUGGUGCAAUCCCGGCUUCUAGAAUUCCUUCUGUAUGCAGAGCGAGCAAACUCCAUACCCCAUAACGUCUUUUGAAAACAAGACAACUCGCCGCUUCCCCACCAAACAAUCACCCAGUAACCUAGGAGUUCUCUGUAGAACGUGUCGGACACGGUCAUGGUUACCUAACACUGUAAAGGGAAUGUUCAAUGAAAUACAAAGAAAACGAUUACUUUUUUUUUCCAAGAGAAUUAUUCCAGCCUUGGAGUGGAAUGGGUGUGGACAGUGAGCAGAGAAACAAGAAACCAAGUUCUGGAAGGAAAUAAAAUGAAUAUAAUCAGUGGAAAAUUCAGCAACGCAAUAUUGUGCGACAACAGUAAAUGACCAAUUUAUAAUUUAAAUUCUAUGAAAAAGAGAUUUAGAAGAGAGUUCUACCAAGCCCACUGUUGCCUAGGGAAUGAAAUGAGUAACGCUGGCUGGCAACAGUGCAUCCGGAGGGAGCCUGGAGAAACAACAGCAGCCUCCGACCUCAAGAUAUCCUGGUUAGCUGCAAAGUCUGUUAUAUAUUCAUUGGAGUAUUUAUUGUGCACCUUACUGUGUGCUGGGAACUCUUAAGUGCUAGGGAUUAUGAGCAAAACAUAUUUACAUGGAGCUUACAUUCUAAGUAAGGGGAAGACAAGUAAGUAUAUGGCAGAUAGUGAAAUGGUAGAGAAAAGAAAAAACGGUGGUCAGGGAAAGCCUUACUGACAUUUGAGCUAGUACUGAAGGAAGCGAGGAAGAAGGCUAAGUAGCUACCUUGGAGGAAAAAUCUUUCAGGUAGAGGAAACACCAAGUACUAAGAUCUAAGAAGGCGUGUGCUUGCUGGGUUCAAGGAACAGCAUGGAAGCCAUAGUGGCAAGAGCAGAGAGUAGGAGAUGAGAUCAAACAUAUAAAAGGGGGCUGGUUGGCCCGGCGCGGUGGCUCAUUCCUGUAAUCCCAGCACUUUGGAAGGCCGAGGUGGGCGGAUCACGAGGUCAAGAGAUCGAGACCAUCCUGGCGAACACGGUGAAACCCCAUCUCUACUGAAAAUACAAAAAAAUUAGCCAGAUGUGGUGGCGGGCGCCUGUAGUCCCAGUUUCUAGGGAGGCUGAGGCAGGAGAAUGGCGUGAACCCGGGAGGCCGCGGAGCUUGCAGUAAGUGGAGAUCGCGCCACUGCACUCCAGCCUGGGCGACAGAGCGAGACUCCGUCUCAAAAAAAAAAAAAAGGGGGGGGCGGGGGGAACUGGUCUUGUAGGGCCUGAAAGACCGUGGUAAGGACUUUGGCUUUUGCUGCAUUCGAUGGGGAGUACUAGUUUCAAAAUUUAGUCACCUAAACCAUGCUUAGCACCACGCUGAGCAAUUAUGCCAGGCCUAGAGGCUAGAAAGGGAGAUGAUAAUCCUUUAGCUCCUUGCAGCUCAAAGUUUAUUCAGCCCAACCUCUCUCACUACCACUGUCACUACUAUCUUGGACUCCAUAGCAGACUUAACUGAAUCUGUAUUUUUAACAAGAUCUUCAGGAGAUUUGUGUGUACAUUAAAGUUUCAAAAAUCACUGCUUUUUUCCUCAGAACCUGACCAAUGUCUAAAGUUUUAUUGGGACACAUCCACAUCCAUCUACAUCCAUUCUAUGACUGCCUUUCUGCCAUAGCAAGGCAGAGUUGAGUAGUUGGUGUGCAACAGACAGUAAGGUGUGCAAAACCUAGAAUACUAUCUCUUCCUUUACAAAAAAAGUGUUUGCCAAUCCCUGGUUUAAAACUACAAAUGGGACCAGGUAAAGUGGCUCACGCCUGUAAUUCCAGCACUUUGGGAAGCCAAGGCUAGCAGAUCACUUGAGGUCAGGAGUUCGAAACCAACCUGGCCAACAUGGCAAAUCCUGUCUCUACUAAAAACACAAAAAAAUUUGCUGGGUGUGGUGGCGCAUGCCUAUAAUUACAGCUACUCAGGAGGUUGAGGCACGAGAACCCGGGAGGCAGAGGCUGCAGUGAGCCAAGAUCGUGCCACUGCAUUCCAGCUUGUACAAUGGAGUGAGGCUGUCUCAAAAAAAAAAAAAAAAAAGCAAAAAACAACUACAAAUGGUACACAUCUGUCACAGUUCAACAGAAUGCCCUGUUCAUAGUAGUCACUCAGCAGAUUCAUGCUGAUGCCAUAUCUCAAAUGUUGCUGAUCACUGUACCACAAGAGAACUCAGGAAUAUCUCAGUCAAUUAAAUGCUUUAGACAGGUAGAUAUGCAUCACAUCUGCUUAAAUUCAUUGGCCAGAAAGAGUCACAUGACCCUAUCUAACCAUAAGGGAGUCAAGAGAUAGUAUUCUAUCAGAUACCGGGUAGCAAGCAGGUGAACCAGAAAUAUUUGGUGAAUAUAUGUAGCUGUCACGCUUUCACUUCCUAUGUCAUCCCAAUCCCAUUUCACUGGUGUUCUGACAUUCUGUGGUUGUCUGUUCAGGUCAGCAAGUCCAGAAAGACCAAUAAAUUUAAGGCAAA
Macaca mulatta (Rhesus monkey) is the source of this 2686-nucleotide long non-coding RNA. RefSeq lists it as uncharacterized. Lineage: Eukaryota; Metazoa; Chordata; Mammalia; Primates; Cercopithecidae. The record is from RefSeq and is a predicted model, not a curated record.